UUGCAAUUAAAAAGCUCGUAGUUGGAUUUCAGUCUUAAUUCGUCUGGCCCGCUCCCUUGAGGAGCCGAGUGCCGGUUGCGAAUUGGACUUCCUUCUAGCAUGAAUCUCCUACCGUUAUGCGGCCGGGAAGGACAUCUGGAUCAUUUACUUUGAAGAAAUUAGAGUGUUCAAAGCAAGCUUACGCUGUGAAUAUAUUAGCAUGGAAUAAUAACAUAGGACCCGGGUUCUAUUUUGUUGGUUUCUAGGACUCAAGUAAUGAUUGAUAGGGACAGUUGGGGGUGCUGCUAUUAUAUGGCCAGAGGUGAAAUUCACGGAUUCAUAUAAGAGCAACUUAUGCGAAAGCAUUCACCAAGGAUGUCUUCUUUAAUCAAGAACGAAAGUUGGGGGAUCGAAGACGAUCAGAUACCGUCGUAGUCUCAACCAUAAACUAUGCCGACUAGGGAUUGGUGGACGUUGAAUUUCCGACUCCAUCAGCACCUCAUGAGAAAUCAAAGUCUUUGGGUUCCGGGGGGAGUAUGGUCGCAAGGCUGAAACUUAAAGGAAUUGACGGAAGGACACCACCAGAAGUGGAACUUGCGGCUUAAUUUGACUCAACACGGGAA
Molecule: ribosomal RNA, 602 nt
Filed under: uncultured marine eukaryote
Lineage: Eukaryota
Description: SSU rRNA
Rfam family: Eukaryotic small subunit ribosomal RNA
Source: RNAcentral